CCUACGGGAGGCAGCAGUGGGGAAUAUUGCACAAUGGGCGAAAGCCUGAUGCAGCGACGCCGCGUGAGGGAUGACGGCCUUCGGGUUGUAAACCUCCUUCAGCAGGGAAGAAGCGAAAGUGACGGUACCUGCAGAAGAAGCGCCGGCUAACUACGUGCCAGCAGCCGCGGUAAUACGUAGGACGCAAGCGUUGUCCGGAAUUAUUGGGCGUAAAGAGCUCGUAGGCGGCUUGUCACGUCGGGUGUGAAAGCCCGGGGCUUAACCCCGGGUCUGCAUUCGAUACGGGCUAGCUAGAGUGUGGUAGGGGAGAUCGGAAUUCCUGGUGUAGCGGUGGAAUGCGCAGAUAUCAGGAGGAACACCGGUGGCGAAGGCGGAUCUCUGGGCCAUUACUGACGCUGAGGAGCGAAAGCGUGGGGAGCGAACAGGAUUAGAUACCCUGGUAGUCCACGCCGUAAACGGUGGGAACUAGGUGUUGGCGACAUUCCACGUCGUCGGUGCCGCAGCUAACGCAUUAAGUUCCCCGCCUGGGGAGUACGGCCGCAAGGCUAAAACUCAAAUGAAUUGACGG
RNAcentral lists this ribosomal RNA (568 nucleotides) under uncultured bacterium. RNAcentral's name for it is "bacterial SSU rRNA". It matches the Rfam family "Bacterial small subunit ribosomal RNA", at positions 338 to 916 of the family's 1533-position model. The record is from RNAcentral.